GACGAACGCUGGCGGCGCGCUUAACACAUGCAAGUCGAACGGAAAGGCCUGCUUUUCCUUGUGGUUUGCGGGUACUCGCGUGGCGAACGGGUGAGUAACACGUGAGUCAUCUGCCCCCAACUUGGGUAUAAGCAUGGGAAACUGGGUCUAAUUCUCGAUAGGACUGCAGGGUGGAGUAGUUGGUGGCAAACGUUUUUUCAGUGGUAGGGGAUGAGCCGGCGGCCUAUCAGCUUGUUGGUGGGGUAAUGGCCUACCAAGGCGGGGACGGGUAGCCGGCCGGAGAGGGUGGACGGUGACAGUGGGACUCGGAGACGACCCGUACGCCUACGGGAGGCAGGAGUGGUGAAGAAUGGGGAGUGGGCGUAAGCCUGAAGCAGCGACGCCGCGAUGAAGAUGACGGCCUUCGGAUUGUAAGCUCCUAGCGAACGCGAAGAGGCCACGUGGGUGGAAGGGUGGUGACGGUAGUGGUAGAAGAAGCACCGGCUAACUACGUG
Molecule: ribosomal RNA, 494 nt
Filed under: uncultured bacterium
Lineage: Bacteria
Description: partial 16S ribosomal RNA
Rfam family: Bacterial small subunit ribosomal RNA
Source: RNAcentral